Erinaceus europaeus (western European hedgehog) is the source of this 718-nucleotide long non-coding RNA. RefSeq lists it as uncharacterized. The transcript has 3 exons. NCBI's taxonomy places the organism in Eukaryota, Metazoa, Chordata, Mammalia, Eulipotyphla, Erinaceidae. The record is from RefSeq and is a predicted model, not a curated record.
GAGGGAACAGUAACGCGUGCGUACGGCCCCGCCCUGACUCCCGGCCACUCUAGGACUAGGAGGACCGGCCGACUCGUUGUAUUCUGUUUCCAAGUUUGUUCCUGAUGGAAUUGGGAUUCAAAGCCCUAUGGUCAAUUUCCCCUAAAAUUUGUCUCCCCUCUGGGAGUAUGGACCAAAACUCUUUUUUGGGGUGCAGAAGCCAUCAAGUUGCAGAUACUACCAUGACACCAACCUGAUUUCCCUGGGCAGUCAACCUCACCAGUGUGUGCUGGAAUCUCAUCUCUCCAGACCCCUUCCCAAAAGGGAAAGGCAGAAACAGGCUGGGGUUAUGGAUUAACCUGCCAAAUGCCUAUAUCCAGCAGAGAAGCAAUUACAGAAGCCAGACCUUCCACCUUCUGCACCCCACAGUGAUCCUGGGUCCAUACUCCCAGAGGGAUAAAGAAUAGGAAGCUGCCAGUGAAGGAGAGGGAAUGGGGUGCGGAACUCUGGUGGUGGGAAUUGUGUGGAAUUGUACCCCUCUUGUCAAAUGGACAUGUCAAUCGUAAUUAAGUCAAUAAUAAAAAAAAAUCAAAAAAAUAUUGUCAGUGAAGAUGAUGUCAGAGAUAAGAACAGAAGUAGAAAGCUGGAUUAGGGCAGAGAGUAGCACCCAAACUUGAAUAGAAUAUAUAAAUAGGCCUUUCUCUCUCCCCAGCCAUCAUGGCAGCUGCUCUUGGUUGGA